AAAGUCGUAACAAGGUUUCCGUAGGUGAACCUGCGGAAGGAUCAUUAACACUUUUGAUUCUUAUACAAACAACCGUGAACAUGUUUAACCAACCUCAUGCUUCAUAACUGCUCUGAUUCGGUAAGGGUGGAGAUCGCAAGAUCUAGCCGAAUCUUAGCUGCUAGGCCGCGAAAGCGAGUCUAGAAGUUAUGAGGAUUUUGAGGCAUUUUCGCCCUAAUCAUCCCCAUCCAACGAUGAUUAGUGGCGUUUCUCAAUAUUAACCCCAAUCAACUAAAUUGUACUAAAUUAAGUGCUUACUGAUGUAAAAAUCAGCAAGACACCAAGUUAUACGUAACUGAGAACAACUCUUAGCAAUGGAUAUCUUGGUUCCC
Molecule: unclassified non-coding RNA, 371 nt
Filed under: Basidiomycota sp.
Lineage: Eukaryota; Fungi; Basidiomycota
Description: partial contains small subunit ribosomal RNA, internal transcribed spacer 1, and 5.8S ribosomal RNA
Rfam family: Eukaryotic small subunit ribosomal RNA (bases 1-47)
Source: RNAcentral